GGGGGCCCCAGCCGCACACCCCUCCAGGACGGGAACAUUCAGUUGACCACGAUCCUCAGCCCCCUCCAGGUCCCGGUGAGAGGCUGAGACCAGACAGCGAAGAGCGAGCGUGGCACAAGCCCUGAAGACAGCACCCGAGAGAAGCAAGCCCCCGCCCCCGGAAGUGACAGAGUGCUCUGCUGGCAGCCCCACCUCCCAAGUCACUCGGGGAACAAUCGCCUAACUUCCCCACCACGAAGCUCCGCUUACAGUGCCCACCGAGAAGUUCAAACGUGCAGUGGAUUUAAACCUCACCUCUGGCUGCAGCCAAACACCUGCCUCCACUCUGUCCCCCCAGGCCCCUUGCCCCUAUAGGAGUCACCUAGCCAGCCCCUGGCCGCUGCUCUGCCAUUGUUCGAGACAGCCCGGCACCUGUCCC
RNAcentral lists this long non-coding RNA (418 nucleotides) under Heterocephalus glaber (naked mole-rat). Its description in RNAcentral is "lncRNA (ENSHGLG00000041858.1)". The record is from RNAcentral. Lineage: Eukaryota; Metazoa; Chordata; Mammalia; Rodentia; Bathyergidae.